RNAcentral lists this long non-coding RNA (1200 nucleotides) under Setaria italica (foxtail millet). RNAcentral describes it as "long non-coding RNA (SITA_LNC006056)". Lineage: Eukaryota; Viridiplantae; Streptophyta; Magnoliopsida; Poales; Poaceae. The record is from RNAcentral.
AUUAUAUAAUUAAAUAAGCAGGAUAAAUGAACUGAAAUUGUUCAUCACUCGACAGCCGGUACUCUCUUCCUCCCCUCUGCAAUGACCAACCAGAGCAGGAUUUUAGAGACACGGAGAGUGAGGUCUUCGUCAGACUAUAGCCAGCCUCUUACUAAUGCAAACUAACUUGCACAUCCUGCAUGUUCAUGGACGUAACUGGAUAUUCAUAUUUGUGAGAAAGUACAAUGAUAAUCAAUUGUACAAUAUGUCUGACAAGUGACAAGCUGAAAAAAGAGAGAACGGGUACCAUUAGUAUUGUUCAGCGUCAGGUGAGGUUCAGACAUGUGUCUUCACGAGUUGUGUUCGCUACCUCUUGUCUCUCUGCUUCUCUUCUUUUCACUCUCGGCCAAGCAUAGAGCAGGAAGCAGCGGCUCUGCUUCCUUCGUCCCUCCUCUCCAUUGUUGCAGAAACAAAACGGCUGCUACAAAAUUUCAGCUUUGCUACAUUAACCCUAUGUUAUGAAUAUCUACCAUGCGAACUAUGUUCUUCAUAUUUUAUUCAAUUUCAGUUGGUCAAAAGCAAAAGCUCCUAAAUUGAAAUAAAGGAAAGCCUAUAAUGUCACCUCACUAAUUGAUUCUUCUAAGCCAAUGACCUUGCCGGUCAUUAGUGCUGGUGGCCUCUGCUGUGGAUAUGCGGAUGAGGGCAGGGAAACCGGUAGCGCUGCCUGCUAUUGGAGCCAGGCAACCAGCAGCCCAUAGUGCAGCUGGUUAGCUAGUCUCCCCGGGGAGAAGCUAGCCGACCAGGGGUUGAACCCUGGUUUGGUGCCUUUUAGGUGGGGGUUUAUUGGAGCCAGCGGUCGUUGGACUGGAACUUAGAAAUUAGAUAUUUUGGUUGACUUUGUGCCUUUCGGAUGGCAGUCCAGAACUUCAGAUCUGCUGGAGCACAGAGAGAGCUUCUUCCUUGGCGUAGUGGGUGGGAGACCCUCGCGUGGAACCGGUGGCCGGAGGGUGUUCCAAACAUGGAACCUCCAGAUUAAUGCUUUUAUAUGAAGCGAGGAUAAAAAUGUAAGAGAUACAAAAACUAGAUCGUAAGCAUACUAUAAAAAAAAACUAGAUCGUAAGCACACUAUAAACGCAGGGUGUUACAGAUGAGGCUGAGGGCACGGCCGUGCGCGUGUGGAUGGUGAUGAGUCGCACGGGCGGAUGUUAGCCAGGCAGCGGG